RNAcentral lists this ribosomal RNA (544 nucleotides) under uncultured bacterium. RNAcentral's name for it is "bacterial SSU rRNA". It matches the Rfam family "Bacterial small subunit ribosomal RNA", at positions 345 to 879 of the family's 1533-position model. The record is from RNAcentral.
GAGGCAGCAGGUAGGGAAUCUUCGGCAAUGGACGGAAGUCUGACCGAGCAACGCCGCGUGAGUGAAGAAGGUUUUCGGAUCGUAAAGCUCUGUUGUAAGAGAAGAACGAGUGUGAGAGUGGAAAGUUCACACUGUGACGGUAUCUUACCAGAAAGGGACGGCUAACUACGUGCCAGCAGCCGCGGUAAUACGUAGGUCCCGAGCGUUGUCCGGAUUUAUUGGGCGUAAAGCGAGCGCAGGCGGUUAGAUAAGUCUGAAGUUAAAGGCUGUGGCUUAACCAUAGUACGCUUUGGAAACUGUUUAACUUGAGUGCAAGAGGGGAGAGUGGAAUUCCAUGUGUAGCGGUGAAAUGCGUAGAUAUAUGGAGGAACACCGGUGGCGAAAGCGGCUCUCUGGCUUGUAACUGACGCUGAGGCUCGAAAGCGUGGGGAGCAAACAGGAUUAGAUACCCUGGUAGUCCACGCCGUAAACGAUGAGUGCUAGGUGUUAGACCCUUUCCGGGGUUUAGUGCCGCAGCUAACGCAUUAAGCACUCCGCCUGGGGA